RNA transcript from Tribolium castaneum (red flour beetle), 834 nucleotides. RefSeq lists it as uncharacterized. The transcript has 3 exons. The record is from RefSeq and is a predicted model, not a curated record. Lineage: Eukaryota; Metazoa; Arthropoda; Insecta; Coleoptera; Tenebrionidae.
AAAAUCAUAUAAGCGUAUUUUUGUGUUUGCAAAAGUAUAAAAGAAUAAAUUAGAUUCUCUUAAUUUAGUUGAAUUUUGGAAUAAGGAAAAUGAAUUUCAUUUGUGCAUUUGUGCUUCUGUUUGGUGUCUCUAUUGUCACUGGUGGCAAUGAGACGAAAUACUGUGAAAGCAGUGAGUACUUCAUGAUAAAACACCAGAAAUCGGGUUUAGUCAUAGAUGGAAAGGGUGAAAAGUUAGAUCAACUUAAAAUUGAGACUGCAACCAAGUCAAUGACACAGUUAUGGUCACUAAAAAUGAUAGAAUUUGGAAAGUUUAUAAUUAUUAAUCGUGCCACAGGGAGGGUUUUGGAUAUACGGUACAACAAGGGAGCUGGUUCAGAUAUAAUCGCCUUUCCUAAACACUGCAAACGAAAUCAGCAAUGGAUCAUUGAUCAUAGCACUGGUCAUAUUGCUGCGACCUAUGACAAUCUUGUUAUAGAAAUAAAUGCUAAGAAUUUUGUUCCAGGAAGUGGUUUGGUAGCCAAUCCCAAGAAAAAAGGACAACCAAAUCAAGUGUUUACUAUUGAACCUGUAUAAUUAUUUUGUAAUAAUUUUUAAACAUAUAUUAGAUGUUUCAAAACAACAAUAACGCCAACGUCGCAUUUUUAGCAUUUUUUUUUAAUAAGUUUGAUGAAAUUGUCAAAUAGUUAUCAGUGAUUAGAUUUCUCAUUGACAGUAUAAAUUACAUUAGCUAUUAUUUUAAGAGAAAAUGCGACGUUUACGUUUUUAUGGUUUUGAAACAGCUAAUACCUAAUUCAUGAUGGAUUAUGCGUAUGAAAUAAAAUUAUAAAACAAA